Non-coding RNA from Myodes glareolus (Bank vole), 1062 nucleotides. NCBI's taxonomy places the organism in Eukaryota, Metazoa, Chordata, Mammalia, Rodentia, Cricetidae. The record is from RefSeq and is a predicted model, not a curated record.
GGGGCUGAGAGGGGGAGGGGAACUGAGAUUGCCUCGCUGGGGAGGUGACCCGGUGAUGGGUCCCAGAAUAAGACCGAGGGAAUAUAGACUAUGGACUUAAGGACGUGGAGUGUGUACCCAGGACAUCCAGGACCCAGAGACCUGAAAGUUGUCGCUGGACUAAAGUGGGAGGUCCUUGGGAGCUGCAGGAACGGGGGAAAUAGAGCCCACAGCUGCACGAUCGACCCUCUCCCCUUUUUGAAAAGGCUGCGGAAAAGUUGAGGAUCUUCUCGUUGUUUUUCGGUAGUGACACAGACUAAAGCAGCAAAGCAGAAGAAAAGGCCCGGGAGGGGCCACUUUGCCUCCUGCGGGGGCCCUUCGCAUUUGCGGCCCCACCCCCACCUCACCUCCCCUCCACCUUCUGGCUUCGAUUUUUGGGGCCAGAGGCCAGGCUUGUGUACUGGAUUGUGAGAGCAAGGAGGCUAGGAAAGAGGCCUGAAGGGGCGGUCCCUACGCCAUAGGUCGGGAUGCCCUGCAGCCUGGAGACCUGAUAAUUGAGACUCACAAAUACGCUUCUGUGUUCCCCAACUAAGAGACUCCACAAGCAGCACUGACUCUUUUCCACCAGGUCUCAGGAGCCCCUUCACAGUCCUGCCUAACCUAAAGUAUCUGAGGAGCCAUCUCCCCUUUUUCCUCAUGCCUAUCAUCUGCCAGUACUGUUCCCCAACCACACAACACACAUAAGAGUGGAAUCUCUCACUAGUUGUGCAAGAUGAAGCAAUGCGGAUCAUGAAGAUCCAGAGACAGCCUCAGGGUACCUGGCUUCCUUAUCUUCUCUCUGGACUGAUAACCCUCAAUCUGCUGCCUGAAUCUGGGUGAAGGUGAAAGAUGAAACAGAGACCAGCAGAGGGCAAAAUACUUAAAAGCAUAUAAAAACAUUUAUUCUUAAAAAACACGAUUGGUUAAGUAUCUCUUGGGAAGUGAAAGCAGCCCUCAGAUGGGCUCUCAGAGAAAGACACUGAAUGCAAAGAUCAUUUACAUGUUAAAAACAAAGAGGCAGCAAACAUUUUUACAAGGGAGGAA